This 234-nucleotide unclassified non-coding RNA is filed under the name Leohumicola sp. RNAcentral's name for it is "partial contains small subunit ribosomal RNA, internal transcribed spacer 1, and 5.8S ribosomal RNA". The stretch from base 1 to 46 matches the Rfam family "Eukaryotic small subunit ribosomal RNA", at positions 1786 to 1831 of the family's 1831-position model. The record is from RNAcentral. Lineage: Eukaryota; Fungi; Ascomycota; Leotiomycetes.
AAGUCGUAACAAGGUUUCCGUAGGUGAACCUGCGGAAGGAUCAUUACAGAGUUCAUGCCCUUACGGGUAGAUCUCCCACCCUUGAAUACUAUACCUUUGUUGCUUUGGCGGGCCGCUUCGGCUACUGGCUCUGGCUAGUGAGUGCCCGCCAAAGGAUCCCAAAACUCUGAAUAUUUGUGUCGUCUGAGUACUAUGUAAUAGUUAAAACUUUCAACAACGGAUCUCUUGGUUCUG